GACGAACGCUGGCGGCGUGCUUAACACAUGCAAGUCGAACGGAAAGGCCCCUUUGGGGGUACUCGAGUGGCGAACGGGUGAGUAACACGUGAGUAACCUGCCCUUGACUUCGGGAUAACUUCAGGAAACUGGGGCUAAUACCGGAUAGGAAUCCUUGCUGCAUGGUGGGGGUUGGAAAGCUUCGGCGGUUUUGGAUGGACUCGCGGCUUAUCAGCUUGUUGGUGGGGUAGUGGCUUACCAAGGCUUUGACGGGUAGCCGGCCUGAGAGGGCGACCGGCCACAUUGGGACUGAGAUACGGCCCAGACUCCUACGGGAGGCAGCAGUGGGGAAUAUUGCACAAUGGGCGGAAGCCUGAUGCAGCAACGACGCGUGCGGGAUGACGGCCUUCGGGUUGUAAACCGCUUUAAGCAGGGGCGAAGCUUGUGGUGACGGUACCUGCAGAAGAAGCACCGGAUAACUACGUG
RNAcentral lists this ribosomal RNA (465 nucleotides) under uncultured bacterium. RNAcentral describes it as "partial 16S ribosomal RNA". It matches the Rfam family "Bacterial small subunit ribosomal RNA", at positions 28 to 507 of the family's 1533-position model. The record is from RNAcentral.